RNAcentral lists this unclassified non-coding RNA (230 nucleotides) under plant metagenome. Its description in RNAcentral is "partial contains small subunit ribosomal RNA, internal transcribed spacer 1, and 5.8S ribosomal RNA". The record is from RNAcentral.
UCUCCGUAGGUGAACCUGCGGAGGGAUCAUUACCGAGCUCAUGCCCUUACGGGUAGAUCUCCCACCCUGUGUUAUUAUUACCUUUGUUGCUUUGGCGGGCCGCCAGGCUCCGGUCAGGCUAUCGGCUUCGGCUGGUAAGCGCCCGCCAGAGGACCCUAUACCCUGAUUAUUAGUGUCGUCUGAGUACUAUAUAAUAGUUAAAACUUUCAACAACGGAUCUCUUGGUUCUG